This 897-nucleotide ribosomal RNA is filed under the name uncultured Bacteroidota bacterium. RNAcentral describes it as "bacterial SSU rRNA". It matches the Rfam family "Bacterial small subunit ribosomal RNA", at positions 29 to 916 of the family's 1533-position model. Lineage: Bacteria; Pseudomonadati; Bacteroidota. The record is from RNAcentral.
AUGAACGCUAGCUACAGGCUUAACACAUGCAAGUCGAGGGGAAGCGACAUCGAAAGCUUGCUUUUGAUGGGCGUCGACCGGCGCACGGGUGAGUAACGCGUAUCCAACCUGCCCACCACUUGGGGAUAACCUUGCGAAAGUAAGACUAAUACCCAAUGAUAUCUCUAGAAGACAUCUGAAAGAGAUUAAAGAUUUAUCGGUGAUGGAUGGGGAUGCGUCUGAUUAGCUUGUUGGCGGGGUAACGGCCCACCAAGGCUACGAUCAGUAGGGGUUCUGAGAGGAAGGUCCCCCACAUUGGAACUGAGACACGGUCCAAACUCCUACGGGAGGCAGCAGUGAGGAAUAUUGGUCAAUGGACGAGAGUCUGAACCAGCCAAGUAGCGUGCAGGAUGACGGCCCUAUGGAUUGUAAACUGCUUUUAUAAGGGAAUAAAGUGAGUCUCGUGAGGCUUUUUGCAUGUACCUUAUGAAUAAGGACCGGCUAAUUCCGUGCCAGCAGCCGCGGUAAUACGGAAGGUCCGGGCGUUAUCCGGAUUUAUUGGGUUUAAAGGGAGCGUAGGCCGGAGAUUAAGCGUGUUGUGAAAUGUAGAUGCUCAACAUCUGCACUGCAGCGCGAACUGGUUUCCUUGAGUACGCACAAAGUGGGCGGAAUUCGUGGUGUAGCGGUGAAAUGCUUAGAUAUCACGAAGAACUCCGAUUGCGAAGGCAGCUCACUGGAGCGCAACUGACGCUGAAGCUCGAAAGUGCGGGUAUCGAACAGGAUUAGAUACCCUGGUAGUCCGCACGGUAAACGAUGGAUGCCCGCUGUUGGUCUGAAUAGGUCAGCGGCCAAGCGAAAGCAUUAAGCAUCCCACCUGGGGAGUACGCCGGCAACGGUGCAAAAAAGAGGAAUUGACGG